AGAGCCACUGCACUCUAGCUUGGGCAACAGAGCAAGACCCUGUCUCAAAACACACACAUGUACACACACACAGAAAGUGCCGGGGGAAAUAAUAUGGUUGUGCUGUGUUUGUUCUGGUGGGUCUUACUGUGUUUCUAUGAGAAAGGCUGAUGAGCAAUUUUCAGAAUUUGAGGCAAAACUGGUUCUUCCUGUUUCAUCCUAUUUGUAUUUUUAUUAUCCCAAUUUUGCAGGUAAGGAGACCAAAGCAGAAAGAUCAGUAACCCUCCUGGAGUCUCACAAUUAAUAUGAAUCAGAGCAGGAUCUUCAACUCCUCAACUUGUGUUUUUAACUGGCACAUCUUCCUGCCUGGGUGCAGCAGAACCAAUAGGAGGAGGCUGGAGCAGAUAGGAGCUGCCUGAUGCUGCUGCAGCAGUCUAGCCAGAGACUCAAGCUGACUUCUUUCAACUUCCCCAGGGUACCUAGUGCACAAACCUGGCAUACAUCGCUCUCCUCCAAGACCCAGCCUGGGAGAGCCUACCUCUUGAGAGCUGUCUCAAGCUGAAGGUACCAACAUGAUGCCAUUGAACAUGGGACGUGAUGUGCAUAAUCAGCUCUUGGGAACCUUCAGGUGUGGGCUACAGCACCUCACUGGACCGCUGGGUUCCUAGUAGAGUGGAGGAAGUGUUCACUUAGCCACAACUUUGCUUCACCCUGGAGGCCAACUGAGGCAUGUUAGUAUACCCUCUCCCUGUAGUUCUGGAGUGAGGACAUUGGAAAGCUAAACAGUGGUGCUUGAUUCAAGGUGCUUGAUCUAAUUUCUGUGGCCUUUGUCUGAAGAGGGAGGAAUAAGAACGUGUCAACCUGGAAUUCCCAGACUGGCUGAUUGGGUCACAUUUGGAAAGCUGCUGUGUGCACAUCUGAUUAUCCUGCACCUAGGACUAUGAUUCAUUUCUUCUUUCUCAGAACGUGUAUCAGUUUGUUAUAUUGAUUAGCCUGAUUGUCUGAAUAGUGUCUUUCUGUGUCAAAUCUAUGAAAGUUUGAACCCUAUAUGCUUUUGCUGAAUACUGUAUUUCCAAUACCUAGUAAUUAUACCUAGACUGACACAUAGUGGGAAUUUUUUUCUUCAAGUUUAAGUGAAAAUUUAUUUAUUUUUUUAAAUCUCCAAAA
RNAcentral lists this long non-coding RNA (1146 nucleotides) under Homo sapiens (human). Its description in RNAcentral is "HSALNT0389364". The record is from RNAcentral. Lineage: Eukaryota; Metazoa; Chordata; Mammalia; Primates; Hominidae.